AUACGGAGGGUGCAAGCAUUAAUCGGAAUUACUGGGCGUAAAGCGCGCGUAGGCGGCUAAUUAAGUCAAAUGUGAAAUCCCCGAGCUUAACUUGGGAAUUGCAUUCGAUACUGGUUAGCUAGAGUGUGGGAGAGGAUGGUAGAAUUCCAGGUGUAGCGGUGAAAUGCGUAGAGAUCUGGAGGAAUACCGAUGGCGAAGGCAGCCAUCUGGCCUAACACUGACGCUGAGGUGCGAAAGCAUGGGGAGCAAACAGGAUUAGAUACCCGAGUAGUCC
This 274-nucleotide ribosomal RNA is filed under the name uncultured bacterium. RNAcentral's name for it is "partial 16S ribosomal RNA". It matches the Rfam family "Bacterial small subunit ribosomal RNA", at positions 523 to 796 of the family's 1533-position model. The record is from RNAcentral.